AACGUAGGACGCAAGCGUUAUCCGGAGUUACUGGGCGUAAAGCGCGGGCAGGCGGUCGGUCAAGUCUGAUGUGAAAUCUCUCCGCUCAACGGGGAGCAGCCAUUGGAAACUGGGCGACUGGAGUCUGACAGAGGCAGACGGAAUUCCGGGUGUAGCGGUGGAAUGCGUAGAGAUCCGGAGGAAGACCGGUGGCGAAGGCGGUCUGCUGGGCAGUUUCUGACACUGAUGCGCGACAGCGUGGGGAGCAAACAGG
This 253-nucleotide ribosomal RNA is filed under the name uncultured bacterium. RNAcentral's name for it is "partial 16S ribosomal RNA". It matches the Rfam family "Bacterial small subunit ribosomal RNA", at positions 524 to 776 of the family's 1533-position model. The record is from RNAcentral.